UACAGAGGGUGCGAGCGUUAAUCGGAAUUACUGGGCGUAAAGCGUGCGUAGACGGUUAUUUAAGUCGGGUGUGAAAGCCCCGGGCUCAACCUGGGAAUUGCAUUCGAGACUGAAUAGCUAGGGUACGGUAGAGGGAAGUGGAAUUUCCGGUGUAGCGGCGAAAUGCGUAGAUAUCGGAAGGAACAUCAGUGGCGAAAGCGACUUCCUGGACCAGUACCGACGUUCAGGCACGAAAGCGUGGGGAGCAAACAGG
Molecule: ribosomal RNA, 253 nt
Filed under: uncultured bacterium
Lineage: Bacteria
Description: partial 16S ribosomal RNA
Rfam family: Bacterial small subunit ribosomal RNA
Source: RNAcentral